GAAAGGUAGAAAGAUAAAUUUUAUUACCAAAGAGAUGAUAUACAAAUUACAAGCUGAAAUCCUAGAGCACCAUUCCUAAUGGUGCACAAAUUGUGCAGGUCAAGAACUGGGAUCAUCCACAAUUGCUGCCUGAAAUUUGUGGAGCUCCUAAACAGCUAAACCCCCUACAGGCUAUUGUUAAAUGUAUCGGCAGUGAGAGGACUUGGAUGUUAAUAGGUACACUUCUUGUCAUGGCAUCUGUGAGCGGGCUAAGCCUAAGUGCAUCAAGUGCGUGCACAACGAAACAUGUAUACCAAUGAAAAACAUAAACCAGAAAACCCGAGGGGUUAUAUAAUUACAGAAAUGGAUCGUGACGCUUCCCACCAAAAAGGUACCUAUCACCUAGACAUAACCAAGCUUGUUAGAGGCUGUGCAACAGCAGUACUAAACAGAGAAUCCCCCAUAUACUUGCAAUUCUCAUGAUCAACUUUGCGAGUCAUUGAAAGCAUAAAUCUCUCACAGGCGUUGGAACCAAAAACUGGUGUUGAGCUCUCAUUGCCAUCUUUUUUAUUACGCAUUCUCUGGCCAGAGCUCACACUACCACGUCUUCUCUUCUUUGAUGCGUUCCACCUUAACUGGGCUAGGUAACUAUCUUUUGAAAGAUCUGGAACCACAACUGAUUCUCUUCCCAUAUCACUUCCAGAAUCUGACGAAUAAUCACUACAUCCAGGUUUUCUUUUUACUGAUUGUGUAGUUUCAGAAAUGGCAGUUUGAAUCAAUUUGUUCUCAUCAGAUUUGACAACUUGCUUUGUUUCUGAGAUAGAUGAUACAGAAUGCGCAAUAUCUGGCCUGGCCUUAAUAUGCAUCCACCCAUUUCCCAACCAUUCUUGGGAGAGUCUCACAUCAGCACGGCUAAAGACUGAUUUUUGCUUUUCUCCUGGGAAAUAGACACAAAAUCUAUCUUCAGAUUCCUUAUGAACAACAAUGCCCUCCUGCCAAACAUCAUGCCACCAAACAUCAACAGCAGUCCCAACAUCCAAAUCCCAUGAUAAUUGACCCUUGUUGAACAUUUGGGGAGGGCGAACAAUUAACCUCCCACAAAUCCGAAUUCCCAAUUGAUCAGGAACUGCAACUUUGGUCGCUAAAAUCCAUUCCUCUAAAUUUUUAGCUUCAUUUUCUGCAUCUUUAAUAUCAUGAUAUCUCACCUUCAUCUUAUCUUUGUGAAUCUUAAUUAUCAAUGCUCUAAACCAACAACCUCUAAUCCCACUAUCCUGAGAAAGCACUUCAACUUCAGAACCAACUUUUAGAUGCUGAGUAGGACUUUGCUUAGCUUCUGCUCCAGACGGAAGGGCAGCAGAUUCCCCUCCUGUUAGACUGCAUAUCUCCAUUCCACUUUUGCGGUCAAUCCAACUGCUAUGCAAGUUAUGCACAUCCACACUCACUGCGUUUGUUGAUUCUUUACUGCCAGUAUAAACAUCAUCAUCUUUUGAUUGACGAUGCCUCUUCCUAGGUCUGGUCCCAGAAUCAUCAUUAACAUUUGCUUCCACUUCCAGGCCAUCAUCAAUUUGCAAAGAAUUUGCCUGAUCCCUUGCAGGGGAAACCAUAUACAUAUACCUAAGUAUUUCUUGUUUCCAGUAUCCUUUGACUUGAGUAAUGUCAAAGGGCUUGGCAUCUUCAUUAUCAAACAUCUUGUAGCAAACAAAUGGAUCCAACAUAGUGUGUGAUGCCUCAUUAAGAAACUUCUCAAAAUGCUGGGGACUGAGGACCGCAGCCAUUCCAUCUAUGCAUUCAAUACUGAGAUCUUGAAGACAAAGAGAAAAGAAAAUCUCUCUGUCAUUAAAAUUGAGAGGCAAUGAAAUACCAACCUCAUCAAUUUUGUGAAACCAUCGUACCACAACCAUCUUGUUCCCUUUGGAGUCCUCGUACAUAUCUUCCAAGUAGGCAACAAGCCUUUUAUCCUCCUCAGCUAAGACAUAUACAAAGUCAUGAACAGAAAUUUUGAAGCCAUUCCGUUGAAAUGACGGAUAAUGCCUUCGUCUUUUCCGGCAUGUCCAUGGAGAACCUAACCAUAAAAAUUCUUUUGUAUGGUAGCCCUGCUUCUGAUGUUGUGUGGCCUUAAAGUUUUCAAUGUCCAACUCAGAAGCAUCACUACUAUCCAAAGAACCUGAUAAGUGGGAUGAUUCAAGAGGCAGUGACUCUGGAAAACAAAAGUACAGUUAACUCAGAAUAAAGACACCAAGGAAGGAACCAAUUGGAUACAAAGAAGAAAAUCUAAAACAAAAAAAGCCACAGCUAAGAAUCAAAUCAAUCUAUAUAUAAAAAUAAAUACAGCAGAAAGAGCAACGCAUUUGCACAACACAUAAACAACAUUCCACCGUAAAAAAAGAACCACAGGCGAGAAGAAAUACAAAUAGGCACAAACAAGAACCAUAUGUAUUUUGAAUGGAGGGUUUAAGAUUCUAUUUGACAGCUGCCAGAUCAAGAGGUUACCAAAAAUGUGAAAACACUUAUGUAAAUCGCAAUAAAUUUGGCCAUGAAAGAUCUUAACCUAGAUAUUGAGGCCACAAGGAUCCGAUGCUGUCAACCAGCUCUUUAAAAUUGAAUAAUAAUUCCUGAAACGAUAGAGUUGAGCCAAUUAAUAACCUCUCGUCGCGACUUGAGCUUCAAAGCAGGACCCAUAGACGAAAAAAUGGAUCUAUUCCUGACAGCGUAGUGAUAAGACAUAUGCCUCAAGCUCUUCUCUUUUCCUACGACGGCCAGAUCUAAUCCUCCGUCCAUUCUCUUCAAGUAAUAUCGAACCUCCCUUCUCCCUCUAUUCGUCGAGACGUUCACCUCCUCCCAGCUAACGUAACCCAACGACUCCGUAUCCAGCGGCGAACCCAAUCUCUCCAUGAAUUCAAUUGUAAAACCUCGGAACCCUAAUCGAAAAUUCCAAAUAAAAAAUUGGGAAAUGAAACUCUAAGCAAAGGGAAUAGGCGGGGGGAGGAUUGGGGCUCUGGCGUCUCUCUCUCUCGAUCCUAUCCGUUUUCUCUUCCUUCCUAUGUGUUGAUUGCGAGUUUGUUUGAAGGGGGAAUUUGAAAGUUAUAAAAUAAAGCGGAACUAGGGUUUGGUUAUCGGCAAUUUGG
RNAcentral lists this unclassified non-coding RNA (3104 nucleotides) under Hevea brasiliensis (rubber tree). Lineage: Eukaryota; Viridiplantae; Streptophyta; Magnoliopsida; Malpighiales; Euphorbiaceae. The record is from RNAcentral.